GGUCCUAUAGCUCAGUUGGUUAGAGCACCUGACUCAUAAUCAGGGGGUCCCUGGAUCAUGCCCAGGUGGGACCA
RNAcentral lists this transfer RNA (74 nucleotides) under Chitinophaga niastensis. It matches the Rfam family "tRNA". From Rfam's summary of the family: Transfer RNA (tRNA) molecules are approximately 80 nucleotides in length. The record is from Rfam by way of RNAcentral. Lineage: Bacteria; Pseudomonadati; Bacteroidota; Chitinophagia; Chitinophagales; Chitinophagaceae. RNAcentral also lists the same sequence under 13 other names.